UAAGACGAACCGUGCGAACGUUAUUCGGAAUCACUGGGCUUAAAGGGCGCGUAGGCGGGUCAUCAAGUCAGGGGUGAAAUACUUCGGCCUAACCGGAGAACGGCUUCUGAUACUGGUGACCUCGAGGGGUGUAGGGGCAUGUGGAACUUCCGGUGGAGCGGUGAAAUGCGUAGAUAUCGGAAGGAACGCCGGUGGCGAAAGCGACGUGCUGGACACCUUCUGACGCUGAGGCGCGAAAGCCAGGGGAGCAAACGGGAUUAGAUACCCCGGUAGUCCUGGCCCUAAACGAUGGGUACUAGAUUGUAGGCUGACAUGGGCUUACAGUCGGAGCAAAAGUGUUAAGUACCCCGCCUGGGGAGUAUGGUCGCAAGGCUG
Molecule: ribosomal RNA, 375 nt
Filed under: uncultured bacterium
Lineage: Bacteria
Description: bacterial SSU rRNA
Rfam family: Bacterial small subunit ribosomal RNA
Source: RNAcentral